UGGAAAUUAAGAAGCAAAGGAUGCCUUUCAUGUUGUGGACCACGCCUUUGACGUCUGGAUGACCAAAUGGACAGACAUAAUUGAGAUCAACAAUUUUCCUAAGAGUCGUUCCAGAGCAUACUUACUAACGUCAGUGAUAGGACCUAUCUCACAGGUGGUUUACUCAUGGGUGUAGUGGUCAUUGGUAUCACCUCCAUUCGUUGUCAGGUCCGUCAGUUUUAUGGUGUUACUCACUAUGUUGGUUUCGGCUUUUUUGUGAGUGGAGAUGUGAUUGGCAUAGUGGCUGGGAUAUCUCUGGUUGUUACCGUCAAUGUGAAAGGUCGCCCACUUCUAGGCAUAUUUUUCGUCUCACAGUUACAAGGCAGACGGCGAUGGUGGCCUUCUGGAGCAGAAAUGCUGAGGCUAUUCACAUUGAGCAUAUGGUUGAUGUGGGUUCUAGAGAGCCUGUGGUUCUCUUGGUUAUGGGAUGCACCUGUAAAAAACAGGAUUUUUUAAGGUUGGUAGGAUCUGUUCAGCCAGUUGUGCUUAUCAUGGAAAGGGGACGGUGUUUCGGAGUGUCUAGAUCCAACCUGUGACCGUGCCAACAUAAAACGUGUUCUCCAUGGUUGGCCUAGCUACGACGACGACAGCAUCGAUGCUGUCAGGGCGGCUCCAGAAGGCGCAUAUCCAGUUGAUAUUGUAGAGCAUGGUGUGUGACUUUUGAUGCUUCAGGGCUAUGCAGUGGUUUCUGCAGUACAUCUUGUGAUCAAACAAGGUUUUGCUUUUGGCGCAAACAAGACUUUGCUUUUGGCAGUACCAGCCUUCAGAUGAAACAGUAAGGAAUUUGUAGUUGCUUUCAAUGAAUUGAUUUUUAAGCUAUGGGGCAAUUUUGGCAUGCGGCCAGCUACGCUAGCAAAAGGAAUUAAAAUCAGCCUAUCCUGUCUUAUUAUGAA
Long non-coding RNA from Lolium rigidum, 932 nucleotides. RefSeq lists it as uncharacterized. The record is from RefSeq and is a predicted model, not a curated record. NCBI's taxonomy places the organism in Eukaryota, Viridiplantae, Streptophyta, Magnoliopsida, Poales, Poaceae. The transcript is spliced from 3 exons.